GCCGCAGUCGGUGGUGCCGCCGCCGCCGCCGCCGCCGCCACGGGUCAGGCUCGCCUUCCUAGAGGCUCUGGGGACUUCCGGGGGAGCGCGUUACCCGGGCAACCGCCGCCGCCCCAGAGAGAGGACGCACCUGCUUCUAGCACGGGGUAGGGGACCCUUCUACCCUGACACCCCCUUCCCCUCCCUCCUAGUGGAGGAGCUGAGGCCAGAAGGAAUCUAAAGCGACCGCUUCCUCUCCCAGGAUUGGUUUCCCCGCUUUUUUCCUAGGUGGCGGGAGCGGGCAGAGGGAGCGUAGUACACGGCUUAGGCUUCCCCUUCCAAGAAUGACUGGGAGGACACCCAGCAGCCCCUGACGUCACCGCACCUGCCUCCUGGCCCCGCCCCCUCCGGUCUCUGCUACUUCUAUCUUCUAGCGGCCGCAUAAACCAGCUCUUCCGGGAGAAGAGGGGCAAGGAGUUGGACAGAUGAAGAUUAAAAAUUUCGGUGUUUGUGGAUUGUUUUCCUUCUUAAACAAAACUCCUGAGCUCGUGUUGGGUCGGCUUCUGACACAUACUAGCUCUAUGAUUCUGAUAAAUUACUUAACCUGUGUAUGUGGCCUGGCAAACUCCUUAAGAUUGUAAGUUACAAAGUUACACUGAUGUUCCUUAGUGAAAGGAAUUUCUAUACCAGUUACUGUUACCAUUCUUAUUCGCACUCUACAUAUAAGGAAACUGAGGCUCGGAAACUGUGACUUGCCUUCCCCGUCACCACCACCCCUCCCCCGCCUAGAUUCUAUGCUAUCAUAGCUGCCAUCUGUAGGACAACAAGAGAAAUUGCAAGACUCUGUUUUCCCCUGGAUCGAUCCAUUACUGGAUCAGGAAAAAGGACCCCUGCUGACUCAUCUUGAUUCAGAACUUAAUUAUGGGCUAUCGAAAGCUUUGCCAGUGGAACAAAAACCUUGUCAGUUCCUAUCAAGCUGUGAAGGUUUCAGGUAUGUGACCAGUGGACAUGUCUGUCAGCUAAGAUCUGCUCUAGCUAAAAUCGGUAAGGUUCAGCACCAGAAGACUAGCAGCCAGGUGAUGAAUUGGCUGGGAUUGGGACUCAAAGCCCUUUAUGACCACCCCGAAAGGAGCUACUAUUGGUAGAGAAAGUGCCCACUGUAAAGUGUAAACACUGAUGCUUGAAGUAUGGAGAUGAGUAUUGUUAUCUUGAAUCUAUUUAAAAUGUUAAAUUUGCUUUUUAUCAAAUGAAAUAAUAUUUUAAAGCAUUUAGCACAAUGCUUGGCAUAUCAUAGAUGCUUGUUUCCUUCCCUUUUAUUGUUACUCUUAUAUCCAAAGAAUCUUGUCUUGGCAAAUAAUAUGAUUUUUGUAAUGGUCUUUGUAAUAAAAUACCAUCCUUCAUGUGGGAUUCCA
RNAcentral lists this long non-coding RNA (1391 nucleotides) under Monodelphis domestica (gray short-tailed opossum). RNAcentral describes it as "lncRNA (ENSMODG00000037756.1)". Lineage: Eukaryota; Metazoa; Chordata; Mammalia; Didelphimorphia; Didelphidae. The record is from RNAcentral.